Molecule: long non-coding RNA, 240 nt
Filed under: Rosa chinensis
Lineage: Eukaryota; Viridiplantae; Streptophyta; Magnoliopsida; Rosales; Rosaceae
Description: sRNA RchiOBHm_Chr6g0252791
Source: RNAcentral
GCGGCGCGAAAAAUAAAGCACAACAAAGUGAAGAAGAAGGUGAUCAGCGCAGGAGGGAGAGAGAAGAGAGCCCUUUCACUUUCCCUUUUGGCAUCACCUACGUGAAAGGAAUCAAACCCCGCCAUGGCAAUCAAACUCUCUCCCUCUCUUCUCUAUGUCUCACCGUGCAGUGUCUGGCCACCCAGAAAAGAUGAUGAAGAGAAGGAUCAGAUGGAAGCGCAGCAAACUUUUCUCAGGUAA